This is a long non-coding RNA of Girardinichthys multiradiatus, 1219 nucleotides long. RefSeq lists it as uncharacterized. Lineage: Eukaryota; Metazoa; Chordata; Actinopteri; Cyprinodontiformes; Goodeidae. The record is from RefSeq and is a predicted model, not a curated record. The transcript is spliced from 3 exons.
AGCCACCGUGGCUUGGAGGUCAUUUUGCCAGGACUCGUGUGUAGAGGCAGCGUUGGUUCAAGAUGGCAGCAUCCAUGAAACCACACAAGAAUAAAAGAGAAAGGAGAGAGAGUAAUUAGAAGAAAAAGGGUACAUAUCGGCACAAACAUUCAGAUCUGAGCAGUGGAAGUUAGACGCGACAGAGAGCAGAAAACAAUCAGGGACGUGAACAAAACAAGUCAGUUUGAUUCAAAUAUAGUAAGUUUAAUGUUAGACACUGCUUCUAAUUAGUAAUCAUGUUUUAAUGUUCAUGUCAAGGAUAUGUUUACAGGAGAUCAGUCGGGUUUCUGUUACAUUUCACAAAAAAGAACAGAAGAGUUUACAAGCUGGGACCGCCAAUGUUUCUGAGUCAGGCUGAGGUCAACUGUUCUACAGAGUCAACCUGAAUGGUACUGGUUCUUUAUUAAAUGAUCAUUUAUCAACGCCUGGCAUAAAUAUUUAAUAAUACCUCCCAGAAAAACUUCAGACUGCUGUUAUAAUUUGUAGAAACAAAAUCACGGAUGUGAGGCAAACUGGUUUAAAUACCAGCUGAAUAUUCUGACUUUGUAAAACAUUCCUCAGACAUAUUAAAAGACGUAACUAUUCACACCUUUUUUUUUUUUCAGCUCAAACAUUAUAUUAUAUGACAUCUUUUAUGGGAUCUGUGAUUGCAGAAGAAACAUUUGAGCACUGUUUGCUAAGUGGAGAGACACAUUAUUAUCUAAUGAUUUCAUCAGCAAACCUACUGUGAAUUGAUGAUAUGAGAAAUUGUCCACUUGAGGUUUUCCUGUAGAUACCGACUGCUCUACUGGAAGCACUACAGAGGGUGGUUGGAACAGCAGAGGUCAUCACUGGGAGCAGUCCCCACCCAUCCAGGACAUUUACCACAGCUGUGUGCGUAAAGCAUCGUCAAGGACCACGCUUACCCAGCAUAAGGACUUUUCUGUCUUCUACCUUCUGGCAGGCCAGCAUGCACAAAAAGACUUGAAGACAGUUAUUAUCCACAAGCUGUCAGACUACUGAACUCUUGGCAAUAAUAUUGCAAUAAGCCACAUUUGUGACACUUUAUUUGCUUGCUGCUGCAGCACAAUGUGUACAUUUUUUUUAUUGCAUGCUAUCAGUAUUUGUUUUAUAGCUAGACGGACGGUUGUUCUUAUCUUAAGCAUUUCAUUGCAUUGUUCACUUUGUUUUACCCUGCAUA